GUUAAGCGACUAAGCGUACACGGUGGAUGCCCUGGCAGUCAGAGGCGAUGAAGGACGUGCUAAUCUGCGAUAAGCGUCGGUAAGGUGAUAUGAACCGUUAUAACCGGCGAUUUCCGAAUGGGGAAACCCAGUGUGUUUCGACACACUAUCAUUAACUGAAUCCAUAGGUUAAUGAGGCGAACCGGGGGAACUGAAACAUCUAAGUACCCCGAGGAAAAGAAAUCAACCGAGAUUCCCCCAGUAGCGGCGAGCGAACGGGGAGCAGCCCAGAGCCUGAAUCAGUGUGUGUGUUAGUGGAAGCGUCUGGAAAGGCGCGCGAUACAGGGUGACAGCCCCGUACACAAAAAUGCACAUGCUGUGAGCUCGAUGAGUAGGGCGGGACACGUGGUAUCCUGUCUGAAUAUGGGGGGACCAUCCUCCAAGGCUAAAUACUCCUGACUGACCGAUAGUGAACCAGUACCGUGAGGGAAAGGCGAAAAGAACCCCGGCGAGGGGAGUGAAAAAGAACCUGAAACCGUGUACGUACAAGCAG
RNAcentral lists this ribosomal RNA (532 nucleotides) under Escherichia coli. RNAcentral's name for it is "partial 23S ribosomal RNA". It matches the Rfam family "Bacterial large subunit ribosomal RNA", at positions 1 to 573 of the family's 2925-position model. Lineage: Bacteria; Pseudomonadati; Pseudomonadota; Gammaproteobacteria; Enterobacterales; Enterobacteriaceae. The record is from RNAcentral.